RNAcentral lists this unclassified non-coding RNA (212 nucleotides) under Glomus sp. Its description in RNAcentral is "partial contains 5.8S ribosomal RNA and internal transcribed spacer 2". The stretch from base 1 to 72 matches the Rfam family "5.8S ribosomal RNA", at positions 84 to 154 of the family's 154-position model. Lineage: Eukaryota; Fungi; Glomeromycota; Glomeromycetes; Glomerales; Glomeraceae. The record is from RNAcentral.
GUGAAUCAUCGAAUUUUUGAACGCAAAUUGCACUCUCCGGUUUUCCGGGAGAGAAGGCCUGUUUGAGGUUCAGCCUAAAAAAAAUCGACAUUGUUGCGGUUUUAUGGUUACUUUCGUCGGAGAUAGUUUAUCUUAAAUCUCGGUUUAAGCGACUUAAAAAUUUUUUUUACUAUUCUAAUAUUGUUUCUAAUAUUGUACUUUCACGUUAACGG